CCUACGGGUGGCAGCAGUGGGGAAUAUUGCGCAAUGGGCGAAAGCCUGACGCAGCGACGCCGCGUGAGGGAUGAAGGUCUUCGGAUCGUAAACCUCCGUCAGCAGGGAAGAACGGUCACUGUGCUAAUCAGCAGUGAAUUGACGGUACCUGCAAAGGAAGCACCGGCUAACUCCGUGCCAGCAGCCGCGGUAAUACGGAGGGUGCGUGCGUUAAUCGGAAUUACUGGGCGUAAAGCGCUCGUAGGCGGUAUGUCAAGUCAAGGGUGAAAGCCCCGCGCUCAACGUGGGAACUGCCUUUGAAACUGGCAAACUGGAGUGUGUGAGAGGAUAGUGGAAUUCCAGGUGUAGGAGUGAAAUCCGUAGAUAUCUGGAGGAACAUCAGUGGCGAAGGCGACUAUCUGGCACAUAACUGACGCUGAGGAGCGAAAGCGUGGGUAGCAAACAGGAUUAGAUACCCCGGUAGUC
RNAcentral lists this ribosomal RNA (465 nucleotides) under uncultured bacterium. Its description in RNAcentral is "partial 16S ribosomal RNA". It matches the Rfam family "Bacterial small subunit ribosomal RNA", at positions 338 to 795 of the family's 1533-position model. The record is from RNAcentral.